CUGCAGGUCUGUUCUGUGUUUUAUGUAUGUGUGGGGAAGACCACCAUUUAAAAAAUAAAUAAAACUAGUGUUUCAAAUCAGAAUAAAAAAACAAGAUGGCAACAGUUCUGCAGAACCAGAAAUUCCGUACCUCUGCAACACUGGAACAAUGUCAGAGAAGAACGUCACACAAUUGAAUUCAUCCGCAAGCCCAUGGAUGAGGAUAGAUCUCCUGUUUUCUAAUAUAAAAAAUUCAGUGGUGGCAGCUAAAACUUAAACAGCUGAUUAUUUUUUGUUCCUGGUUUCCCAUCAGGUCUCUCAGUGAAACACUGCUCCCACACUCAGUCUCCCGAAAGCCUCCAUAUUCUGUCUCUUUUGGUAUUAAAAGAGAUGCGGUGUUCUUCGCUUCUGUCCUCCAGUAUAAGCAGCUGUCAGGACUUCUGCAAUGUGAGGCGCUGGCACAGCUGCCCAGAGAAGCUGUGGUGCCCCAUCCCUGGAGGCGCUCAAGGCCAC
Molecule: long non-coding RNA, 492 nt
Filed under: Gallus gallus (chicken)
Lineage: Eukaryota; Metazoa; Chordata; Aves; Galliformes; Phasianidae
Description: lncRNA (ENSGALG00010003325.1)
Source: RNAcentral